AGGAACAGAUCUUAAUCGGCUAUGUGGAAAACGGUAAGUCAAGUAACAAGUGAUAAUAAAGCCGAAAGUUCUAAUUCCGUGUUGGAUAAGUGGUGACAAAACUAGAACAACAGGUAAAACCUAGAAUUCUAGUAAAUAUCAAUAACUGGUGAAUAAAUCUAAACAAAAUGACUGUGAUGCGCCCAAAGUUAAAGCUUAGAUGUUACUCGAUAAGCAGAACUUACAGAAUCGGCCGGAGAUCAAGUUGAUGCAGCCCCGCCAACCCGUACGAACUCGUGAAAAGAAGAAAAGUAUUGGCGAAAUCGCCUGCUUGAAAGUAAAGUGCGAGGAAAUAGUAGUUUGUUGUAUUGAUUUGAUGAUGAUUACAGAUCUAUGAAGGUGGCUAUUUAUAGCCUGUUACAACAAAUCUCUUAACCGACUAGGACUCUAUCUCUAAUUUUAAAUGAAAACGAAUAUUUACAAGUAGGAUUCGUAUCGGAGUUGACUUCUAUGUUCCGUGGGCCGACCCCUUUUAAUCCUCGUGAUCUACUCUGAGCCCAUAUCAGCCCAACUAUUCCAGCCUCUCGAUCGGCCGAUUUCCAUCAACCCCCUUCGCCGAAACACUCCAGCGCCAAUCAGCCGACCCUCAGCUGUAGCACCAAUCGGCCGAUUCCCAAUCGUGACCUCCGUGUUUCGCUGCAUCACCUGAUUCCUUCCCUUCUUGACGCUGAUUCCAUACGUGUUAAAAUCUAGCGUCAACACAUGCCCCCCAGUUUCAGAGUAAAACAUAAUCUUUACUUCGAAAUUCCUUUCAACUUCCCUUCCGAAACAAACGCGUUGAAAAUAUCCUUCCAUUUCGCGGUCUUCAGCCUGAUGAUUGCAAUCUUUUCGAAACGGGCGCCCACGACAACAACUCCUCCCGAAAAAAUCAAAACGCCGGCGCGGUAAAAAUCCCGCUUUUACCCCUUCUCAGACCACCCUUAAAUACCAGCACGUCCCGGACUUCGUUUCACGAGCUCACGUCUUCCUUCUUUGGCGCACUGAUCUUCUUCUUCCUCCGACGUCUUCCUUAGCCUCCAAUUUUAUCUCCGGCAUCUCCUUCCAUCUACAUUCCAC
This 1095-nucleotide long non-coding RNA is filed under the name Setaria viridis. RNAcentral describes it as "long non-coding RNA (SVIR_LNC008809)". The record is from RNAcentral. Lineage: Eukaryota; Viridiplantae; Streptophyta; Magnoliopsida; Poales; Poaceae.